AGAACGAACGCUGGCGGCAUGCCUAAUACAUGCAAGUCGAACGAACUCUUCGGAGUUAGUGGCGCACGGGUGCGUAACGCGUGGGAAUCUGCCCCUUGGUUCGGAAUAACAGUUGGAAACGACUGCUAAUACCGGAUGAUGACGAAAGUCCAAAGAUUUAUCGCCAAGGGAUGAGCCCGCGUAGGAUUAGCUAGUUGGUGAGGUAAAGGCUCACCAAGGCAACGAUCCUUAGCUGGUCUGAGAGGAUGAUCAGCCACACUGGGACUGAGACACGGCCCAGACUCCUACGGGAGGCAGCAGUAGGGAAUAUUGGACAAGUGGGCGAAAGCCUGAUCCAGCAAUGCCGCGUGAGUGAUGAAGGCCUUAGGUUGUAAAGCUACGUUUUACCGAGAUGAUAAUGAACGAGUAUCGGGAGAACGUUAACGCCCCGGUACUAACCGUCCGCG
RNAcentral lists this ribosomal RNA (446 nucleotides) under uncultured soil bacterium. RNAcentral describes it as "bacterial SSU rRNA". It matches the Rfam family "Bacterial small subunit ribosomal RNA", at positions 26 to 496 of the family's 1533-position model. The record is from RNAcentral.